UAUUGUCAUUAUCAGCAUUUUCCUAACGAUAGCGUAAUGAGUAGGCCAUCAUUUGAUGGCUUCUACGUUCUAGCUAAACUCAAAUCUAAGGUCUUCUUUCGCGCUCUAACACAAACGCAAUCCAAUCGAACCCCCCAACCAUGUCUCCCGACCAGCUCAAUACCCUCGAUUCCCAGCCAACAGUCCCCGAAAACAUUUUUCAUACGAGCUAGGGAGAACUUGAAAUGAAAACCGAAUGCAUAAAUAUAUGGAUAUAAAUCAUAUAAAAUACGAUACUUUAAUACUAUUAAAAUGAAAAGCGAGUGAGACAACCGAGUGUGCUCCUCACAAAAAGUAAGCACCUUGCGCAUUGUUCUUUCUAUCUGGGUUUUGGUUUGGUUUUGGGUCUUAAGUUGUGGGUUCUGGGCACUGGGUGGCGUGCCUAUCGGAAAUCAAUGGAUCGUUGAACCGCGCUCCUAUCGCGGUUCCCAAAGUCAUUUCAUGGUCGCAUUAACAAUUCUCUGUGCAUUUAUGGUUUCUUUUAAUUAUUUUAGAAGACAGCAGCAGUCGGCGCUGCGUUGGCCAUUUUUGGUCUGUGCGAUUGGAUGGUUUGGAUGGUUGGCCAGGUUAUUUUCGUCGACGGGCAAUCGUUUCAAAUGGCUGACGCAACGGCGCAAUUAUUUUUCGAAAAAAAAAUGUUCAUAAAUAAAAACACAUAUUUAUUUAUUAAUUUUUCUCUGCGCCUGGUCCACUUCGCAGCUGCUUUUUCUUUCUUUCAGUAAUUGUCGUUUUUGCAUACUAUUGCUCGCCUGUCAUCCGCUGCCAGCGAAAAGACAUUGACCCACAUUAUCCAUCCAUGCCAGCAAAUGUCUGAUCUGAAUGCUGCCGAAAUUUCUGGCGAGGAAUGAGUGACAACAUUUGGGCUACACAUGCUCACUUUCGCUCUCGAAAUGUUCGAAAUAUAAAUACUAUAUUCGUUUUCGCUACUUCUGGUGAAAACUCAAAUUAAUCACGGAAAACGCUGGAGUGGCGAGGGUGCCCGACCACUUUUAUCAGCCGUAAAAUUAAUCAAACAUUAUUAUUAUUUCUUAUAUGGCCAUCUCCAAACGGAGCAUUCAAAUAUCUAUCUUUCACCGCGGGCAGCGAGUAGUUUUCCACGUUGGCUCAUUCAAUUAAAUAUGCUAAUUUCAGUUUCCACCGUAUUCUGAGCGCAGUUUUGACUGGUUGCCUACUGGCUAACAGUAACCUUCACUGCCACGAAAACGUCUAAUCUGCUCGAAGGUCAUCCAGAACACCACCGAGGCAGGUCCGACACGCAUCCAAUAUGGAAUGAAUCCCUUGUACAUUGCCAAAAAGCCCUCCUCUCUAACCAACCUACUUAAGCAAUCCAGGGAGCCCUUGUAAUGAAUGCCGCGUCCCUGCCCAUCGGUUGGCUGAUUCAUGAUCCGGGACUUGACCACGUCCGCCGGCAAGCUCAGAAUGGCAUCCGCUACGCCGGCGGUCAUGGCGGCUAGGAACUGGACUUCUCGGUUAUCCACCAGAUCGAACUCGGCAAUCAGAAACCGUUUGCAAAAGUCAUAGCAACUGACGUCCCCUUUGGAAGAAAAUAAUUAAUAAAAAGCUUAAAGCUACUAAACUCA
Long non-coding RNA from Drosophila sechellia, 1619 nucleotides. RefSeq lists it as uncharacterized. Lineage: Eukaryota; Metazoa; Arthropoda; Insecta; Diptera; Drosophilidae. The record is from RefSeq and is a predicted model, not a curated record. The transcript has 2 exons.